UACGUAGGGGGCUAGCGUUGUCCGGAAUCAUUGGGCGUAAAGAGCGUGUAGGCGGUCCGGUAAGUCCGCUGUGAAAGUCGGGGGCUCAACCCUCGAAUGCCGGUGGAUACUGUCGGGCUUGAGUACGGAAGGGGCGAGUGGAAUUCCUGGUGUAGCGGUGAAAUGCGCAGAUAUCAGGAGGAACACCAAUUGCGAAGGCAGCUCGCUGGGACGUUACUGACGCUGAGACGCGAAAGCGUGGGGAGCAAACAGG
Molecule: ribosomal RNA, 253 nt
Filed under: uncultured bacterium
Lineage: Bacteria
Description: partial 16S ribosomal RNA
Rfam family: Bacterial small subunit ribosomal RNA
Source: RNAcentral